RNAcentral lists this non-coding RNA (19 nucleotides) under Arabidopsis thaliana (thale cress). The record is from RNAcentral. Lineage: Eukaryota; Viridiplantae; Streptophyta; Magnoliopsida; Brassicales; Brassicaceae.
AGUCAGCUCAGAACUGGUA